RNAcentral lists this unclassified non-coding RNA (343 nucleotides) under soil metagenome. Its description in RNAcentral is "partial contains 5.8S ribosomal RNA, internal transcribed spacer 2, and large subunit ribosomal RNA". The stretch from base 1 to 120 matches the Rfam family "5.8S ribosomal RNA", at positions 35 to 154 of the family's 154-position model. The record is from RNAcentral.
GAUGAAGAACGCAGCGAAAUGCGAUAAGUAAUGUGAAUUGCAGAAUCCAGUGAAUCAUCGAAUCUUUGAACGCACAUUGCGCCCGCCAGCAUUCUGGCGGGCAUGCCUGUUCGAGCGUCAUUUCAACCCUCGACCUCCCCUUGGGGAGGUCGGCGUGGGGGACCGGCAGCACACCGCCGGCCCUGAAAUGGAGUGGCGGCCCGUCUGCGGCGACCUCUGCGUAGUAAUACAGCUCGCACCGGAACCCCGACGCGGCCACGCCGUAAAACACCCAACUUCUGAACGUUGACCUCGAAUCAGGUAGGACUACCCGCUGAACUUAAGCAUAUCAAUAAGCGGAGGA